Molecule: ribosomal RNA, 465 nt
Filed under: Vreelandella stevensii
Lineage: Bacteria; Pseudomonadati; Pseudomonadota; Gammaproteobacteria; Oceanospirillales; Halomonadaceae
Description: partial 16S ribosomal RNA
Rfam family: Bacterial small subunit ribosomal RNA
Source: RNAcentral
CCUACGGGUGGCUGCAGUGGGGAAUAUUGGACAAUGGGGGCAACCCUGAUCCAGCCAUGCCGCGUGUGUGAAGAAGGCCCUCGGGUUGUAAAGCACUUUCAGUGAGGAAGAACGCCUGGUGGUUAAUACCCAUCAGGAAAGACAUCACUCACAGAAGAAGCACCGGCUAACUCCGUGCCAGCAGCCGCGGUAAUACGGAGGGUGCGAGCGUUAAUCGGAAUUACUGGGCGUAAAGCGCGCGUAGGUGGCUUGAUAAGCCGGUUGUGAAAGCCCCGGGCUCAACCUGGGAACGGCAUCCGGAACUGUCAAGCUAGAGUGCAGGAGAGGAAGGUAGAAUUCCCGGUGUAGCGGUGAAAUGCGUAGAGAUCGGGAGGAAUACCAGUGGCGAAGGCGGCCUUCUGGACUGACACUGACCAUGAGGUGCGAAAGCGUGGGUAGCAAACAGGAUUAGAUACCCUAGUAGUC